UCGUGUUGAUGUGUGGGGGCAGUCAGCAGUCCCUGUAAGUUGUCGGGGCGUUACAUUGCCUCUCCCUUCCAGUCCAAAUAGUUGUGUCCUGUGAAACCCGAUGCCUACUGCAUAAACCGAAAGACCAUAUGAACCAAGGUUUCAGAAACUCAUGACCCACCUUGACACCUUUACCUAGAGGACCAAACAUGUGAAGACUAGUGAAACCGGCCAAGUCCAUCAUGCAACCUCAAACUCAAAAUGACAUUCACAUAAUUUUACAACAACGUUAAAUUCAAGAAACAAGAAUCAAAAUAAAAUGAAAGAGCACAUCACAUCAUGCAAAUUCAAUGUAGCCUUUGCAGCAAAAUAAAAUAACAGAGCACAUACCUUGGAUUUUUCCUUCCUUCCUUGGGGACGUCUGCUCCCAAGACUCUAUUCCUCCCUUUGUUGCUGCAAUUCCAAUUCCUUCUCAACCUAACCUUAUGUUUUUUGGAAUGGAAGUGAAUUAGGGGUUUUCAUUAUACAUUUGCACACAGUUUAUUCACACAGAAGGACAUUACCUCGUCAUAGACCCACUACACUAGCCUCACCCUGCGAUAGUGGAAGCACUGGUCACGUCGCCACAACACCGUUAACGCACCACCACAACACCAAAGUCACGCUGACACCAUCAUCACACCGUCACAGCACCAUCGUCAGGUCGCCACAACACCGUCAUCACGCCGCAACAGCAACCUCGUCAACAAACACCCUCAAACAACCCCCUCGCAACAAUGUAAUCCGUCAACCACCACCCUCCUCACCGGCA
Molecule: long non-coding RNA, 790 nt
Filed under: Vigna radiata
Lineage: Eukaryota; Viridiplantae; Streptophyta; Magnoliopsida; Fabales; Fabaceae
Description: long non-coding RNA (VRAD_LNC008291)
Source: RNAcentral